Long non-coding RNA from Daphnia pulex (common water flea), 2276 nucleotides. RefSeq lists it as uncharacterized. Lineage: Eukaryota; Metazoa; Arthropoda; Branchiopoda; Diplostraca; Daphniidae. The record is from RefSeq and is a predicted model, not a curated record. The transcript is spliced from 7 exons.
UUAACUAAGGCGUCGUAUGCUGUUGGGUGUUGUAUCGUUGAAGGCUGGGUCGACCACUGGUGUACCGAUGUCUCCUGGGUAUGGCGGAUGCCAAACCGCAACGCUGCCGCCUUACUACACAACAACAACAUACGCAACAACCGGUUCCUACACCACCAAGGCUCAAGAGUGUUACAAUUCAUGAUGCCCCGAGUUGCUACCCCGAACCCCGAGUUACAUCACCAGAGGCGGAGUACUACACCGAGGCUCCUAAGUACUACAACCGCAAUACUACACGUCUAUGUAUGCUGCCCCUGCCUACUACACCGAGGCCCCGCAUUACUACGACACCGAAGCGCUCAAGUACUACACUACAACCUACGCUGCCCCGAGCUACUACACCUACGUACCAAAGAAUUACUGUGCGUAAAAGGAGUCGUUGAAAAAAGAAGUCGUGCCCAAACUGCAGUGCCUUAUCUGUCGCCAACAGGAUUCCUCAUCGUGUAACCGAUUCUCAAUUAUGGUCAACUAUGGCGUCGUGCUCCUGUUGGUUGUUGUAUCGUUGAUGGCUGGAUCGACCACUGAUGUACCAAUGUCUCCGCAAACAAAACCGCAACGCCGCACCUACCUCCACCUCCUAACUUACGCAACGAGGUUCCUGCACCACGGUCUUCCAGUACUACACCACUAAAGCACCGGAGUUUUAUACCACAACUUACGCUGCCCCGAGUCACUACACUGACGCCCUGAAGUAUUACUCUGCCCCGAGUUACUACACCAUCAAGGCGACGGAGUACUACAUGACAACGCAUGCUGUCCCAUCCGACUACACCGAGGCUCCCAACUGCUACCCGAGGUUCCCGCUAAUUACUUCGCCAAAACGGUCGAGUACUACACCGAAGCGGCAAGUCCUUCUGUGCCCCGAUCUACACAACAACAACUGAGGCGACCAAGAAUUACGCAGUCCCGACUUGACACACAAAAGCUGCUCUUUCGUGUUAAAUUGAACUGAAACACUACACUGAUGCUCCAGUCUACUACACCACGACCUACGCUACACCUAGCUACAACACCGCAGCUCCCAAGUACUACACCGAAGAAGCUGCCUAUUGCACAACUACGUACGCUGCCUAGUUUACUACACCGAGGAAUUCAAUUAUAACCCUGUCUGGGCUUUCUUCGUUGCCUUCCAAAUUUUAUUCUUCACAUGGAGAACUUAAGAAUAAUUUAAUUGUAGAAAUUUCGAUUUAGUGUACAAUGGACAUGCGGUUUUGGUGCCGGUCGAUAUGUCAAUCCCUAUUCCAUUAAUCACUGUUAUUGAAAGGUUUGGAUGUCAAGUGUCAACUCAGUGGAUGAAUUCUAUACAAAGACAAUUAUCACUCCUGAAAUUGUAGCAGUGGAAGGAGUGGUGUUGGUACUAGAACAUUUUUAUGGCAAAAAGAGGGUUUUGCAGAAUGUUUUAUCAAAACCUUUGUUUUUGUUUGACUGUGUAGUUUGACUGUUAUUUUUUUCUUGGAUUAAGUCCGUCUCCUUGCCUGUGCAUGUGGUAAAGAAUCCAUUCAAUAAUUCAACUAAAUAUCGAAAUUUUUCGAUAUUUUCCUGCUGGUCAUGAGGAUUGGAUUUGUGCCUUAGCCUAUAUUGUGAAGUUAUGAUUUGUCCCCCAUCUUUUGGAUGUUUCGGGAUCCUUCUGGAGCAGAAUAGAAAGUUGUCCGAGUUUUCGAAGUUCCUCACUAUUUUCUAUGGAAUUUGGUUUAAAUUUGUCGUAUUGAUCAACCAAUGACAUAACGUAAUAUUGUGUUUUUUUUAAUCAACCUUCCCGCUUGUAUUCAUAAUUUUCGCAUUUUUUCGACGGUACUCGAUGGUAAUGGCAUGCAUCAGUCUGCUGCGAGUAGUCUAUGGAUCUGGUGUUAUGCUGAAAUGUAGAAUCAUGACUUGAAGUGGAAUAACUGCAAGAAGACUUCUUGAAAUGGUAAUUGGAUAAUCCAAUUUGGAUUGAAAUUAUGUUGAAUAAUAUCCUCAAAAGAAAGGUAUAGAUGGUUGGUAUAGUAGUUGAAGUCUAGGAAAAAUUACAAUCUACUUGAUUUUAUUUAUAUUGAUUUUAGUAAUUGCUAAUUGGAAAACUUUGGUUUACUAUAGACUUAAAUUGCUUGUAUCAAAAUAAUUUUUAAGAGCUGUUGCUUAAUUCAAUUAACUCCUGUCAUUUAAAUAUAUGUUCCUUAAUAGAAAUUUAAGUAUGUUUAAAAGUGUAAUAGCCAGGUAAAAUCUCUUAUUCAUUGCUUUAAUACAAUUCAAAAGUA